Molecule: transfer RNA, 57 nt
Filed under: Bos indicus x Bos taurus (hybrid cattle)
Lineage: Eukaryota; Metazoa; Chordata; Mammalia; Artiodactyla; Bovidae
Source: Rfam by way of RNAcentral
UGGCUCAGACGGUAAAGCAUCUGCCUACAAUUCAGGAGACCCAGGUUCAAUCCCUGG